GGUAAACGCUGGCGGCGUGCCUAAAACAUGCAAGUCGAACGCUCCACUUCGGUGGGGAGUGGCAGACGGCUGAGUAACGCGUGGGUGACCUGCCUGGAGGUGGGGAAUAACUGCCCGAAAGGGUGGCUAAUACCGCAUACGCUCGGAGCUUCACUGAUCCGAGCAAAGUCUUUGGAUGCCUCCAGGGGGCCGGCCGUCGUA
Molecule: ribosomal RNA, 201 nt
Filed under: uncultured bacterium
Lineage: Bacteria
Description: partial 16S ribosomal RNA
Rfam family: Bacterial small subunit ribosomal RNA
Source: RNAcentral